RNAcentral lists this transfer RNA (73 nucleotides) under Thermoplasmata archaeon. RNAcentral describes it as "tRNA-Glu". It matches the Rfam family "tRNA". From Rfam's summary of the family: Transfer RNA (tRNA) molecules are approximately 80 nucleotides in length. Their secondary structure includes four short double-helical elements and three loops (D, anti-codon, and T loops). RNAcentral also lists the same sequence under 4 other names. Lineage: Archaea; Methanobacteriati; Thermoplasmatota; Thermoplasmata. The record is from RNAcentral.
GCUCCCGUAGUGUAGCGGCCAAUCAUCUAAGCCUCUCGAGCUUGGGACUCGGGUUCAAAUCCCGACGGGAGCA